UAGGAGGAGCAACUCUCCUGGUUUGCCUGAGACUGAGUAGUUUCCUAAGAUAGGAGAUGUUCAGUGCUAAAACCAGGACAGU
MicroRNA precursor from Chlorocebus sabaeus (green monkey), 82 nucleotides. Lineage: Eukaryota; Metazoa; Chordata; Mammalia; Primates; Cercopithecidae. The record is from Ensembl.